Molecule: ribosomal RNA, 2730 nt
Filed under: Triticum aestivum (bread wheat)
Lineage: Eukaryota; Viridiplantae; Streptophyta; Magnoliopsida; Poales; Poaceae
Description: partial small subunit ribosomal RNA
Source: RNAcentral
AUGGAGUUCGUGGCGUCCAUCGUCGACACGGCGUUCCGGCCGCUCAAGGACUACUUCGCGCGGACGUUCGGGUACGUCAUGUCCUGCGCCGACUACAUCGACGCGCUGGGCCAGGAGGUGGACGAGCUCAAGAGCAAGCGCGACGACGUCAAGCGCAUGGUGGACGCCGCCGAGCGCCAGGGGAUGGAGGCCACCAGCCAGGUCAAGUGGUGGCUCGAGUGCGUCGCCAGGCUCGAGGACGCCGCCGCCCGGAUCCACGCCGAGUACCAGGCGCGCCUGCAGCUCCCGCCCGACCAGGCGCCCGGCCUCAGGGCCACCUACCGCCUCAGCCAGAGGGCCGACGAGACGCUCGCCGAGGCCGCCGGCCUCAAGGACAAGGGCGACUUCCACAAGGUCGCCGACGAGCUCGUGCAGGUCCGCUUCGAGGAGAUGCCCAGCGCGCCCGUCGUCGGCAUGGACGAGAUGCUCCAGGAGCUCCACGCCUGUGUCCGGGGCGGCGACGUCGGCGUCGUCGGCGUCUACGGCAUGGGCGGGAUCGGCAAGACCGCGCUGCUCCACAAGUUCAACAACGACUUCCUCAUCGGCUCGCAGGACAUCAAUGUCGUCAUCUACAUCCAAGUUGGCAGGGAGUUCAGCCUCGACGACAUCCAGAAGGUCAUCGGCGACCGGCUCGGGUUGAGCUGGGAGAACAGGACGCCCAAGGAGCGCGCUGGGGUGCUAUACAGGGUGCUCACCAAGAUGAACUUUGUGUUGCUGCUGGACGACCUCUGGGAGCCACUCAACUUCCGGAUGCUCGGCAUUCCGGUUCCCAAGCACAACUCCAAGAGCAAGAUCAUCGUGGCGACGAGGAUGGAGGACGUGUGCAACCGAAUGGAUGUCCGUCGCAAGCUCAAGAUGGAGCGCCUGCCACCGAUGGCUGCCUGGGAGCUCUUCUGUGACAAGGUCGGCGAGCACCUCGUGCGUGCCGCCCCAGAGAUCUGGCGCCCGGCAAGGGGAGUGGCCAUGAAAUGUGGUGGGCUGCCCCUCGCGCUCAUCACCGUCGGCCGGGCCAUGGCAAGCAAACACACUGUAAAAGAAUGGAAGCACGCCAUCACUGUUCUAAAUAUUGCCCCAUGGCAGCUUCUUGGCAUGGAGUUGGACCUUCUUAUGCCUCUCAAGAGCAGCUAUGACAACUUGCCCAGUGACAAGCUAAGGCUCUGCCUGCUGUAUUGCUCGCUGUUUCCAGAGGACUUCAUCAUUUCCAAGGAUUGGGUCAUAGGCUACUGCAUCGGUGAAGGUUUCAUAGAUGAUCUAUACACUGAGAUGGAUGAGAUAUACAACAAAGGGCAUGACCUUCUGGGUGAUCUCGAGAUUGCAUCUUUGCUGGAAAAAGGUAAAGACGACGAACACAUCAGUAUGCAUCCCAUGGUCCGCGCGAUGGCUCUCUGGAUAGCAUCAGAAUUCGGCACAAAAGAGACCAAAUGGCUUGUCCGUGCCUGGGUUGGGCUCAAGGAAGCACCAGGUGCAGAGAAAUGGAACGAGGCCGAGCGGAUUUGUUUCAUGCGGAAUAACAUCGUGGAGCUGUAUGAGACGCCUAAUUGCCCUCUGUUGAAGACCUUGAUGCUACAAAACAACGCUGGGUUGAAAAAGUUGUGCGACGGCUUCUUCCAGUUCAUGCCAUCUCUCAGGGUAUUAGAUCUCUCGCACACCUCUAUCACUGAAUUACCCUCAGGGAUCAGUGCAUUGGUUCAGUUGCAGUACCUUGAUUUGUAUCACACAUACAUCAAAUCACUGCCAAGGGAGCUAGGAUCACUGGUCAGUCUGCGGUUCCUGCUGCUCUCACAUAUGCCGCUUGUAAUGAUCCCAGGUGGUGUCAUAGAUAGCCUCAAAAUGCUGCAAGUUCUGUACAUGGACUUCAGUUACGGAGACUGGAAAGUUGGUGAGAGUGGAAAUGGUGUUGAUUUUCAGGAGCUUGAGAGCCUACGCAGGCUCAAGGCAAUCGACAUCACAGUACAGUCGGUCGAGGCCCUAGAGAGACUGGCGCGGUCAUAUCGCCUCGCCGGUACAACAAGAAAUCUGAUGAUAAAAGCAUGCGGUGGCCUGACAAAGAUAGAGCUCCCUUCAAGCCACCUCUGGAAGACCAUGACAAACCUGAAGAGAGUGUGGAUCGCAAACUGCAGCAAUCUAGCGGAGGUGAUCAUUGACGGCAGUGAAGAAACUGAUUGCCCCAUUUUAGAUCCCUGUGAUUUUAUGAGGAUGGGUGAAGUUAUCGAGUGUGAACAGCCCGCCCUUGAUAGCCUGCAGGGUAUCAUCCUGCAGAGCCUUCUGAAGGUAAAGAUCGUCUACAGGGGUGGGUGCGUCGAGAAUCUGUCAUCAUUGUUCAUCUGGUACUGCCUAGGACUGGAGGAGCUCAUCACACUCAGCGAUGGAGAUCAAGAAGCAGCGGCGAACGAAGACGAACAAGCUGCAGGGACUACUAGCAAAGUGAUCACGCCCUUCCCUAAACUUAAGGAACUGUAUCUCCAAGGCCUACCAAAUUUGAGGGCGCUGAGCAGUAGCGCAUGCAUGCUGCGGUUCCCGUCACUGAAGAGACUCAAGAUCGUCGAUUGUCCAAGCCUCAAGAGGCUUAAACUUGUUGACGCGGAACUAAAGGUGAUACAAUGCGCGAGGGACUGGUUCGAUGGGUUGGAGUGGGAUGAUGAUGAGGUCAAAGCAUCUUACGAGCCACUGUUGGAUGAAAGAUAUGAGUGA